GUUAAACUUCAAAACUGAACACCGAUUAGAUUCACUCUCAUUUCCGUUGAAAGUCAGAAAAGAUGGCGAUGAUAGAAAAAAAUUUAUUUAAAAGUGACUGUCCUCCGUAAUAAUAAUUAUUUACUAUAUAACUAAUUAAUCAAUAUCAAGUAUAAUCGAUUAAUAACCUAAGUAAUAGAAAAAAUACGAUACUUCAAAGACCUUAACCUCGAAAAUUUAAUGCCUAUCUCAUAAAUUAAUUAAUUUGAUGACUAAUCCUCAGUAACUAUUCCAAGCUAAACAAUCGCAGGGAUAGUGCAAGAAAUCAAAGACUUAAAAUGCAUUUCAUCUUAUCCGAGCAUCUGAGCCCCCCGCUGCCAACAGCCAACCAGCCAAUGAGUUGUAUCACGUUAUCUUGUUUUGUAUACAUAUAUUUCUUCAAACUAACAGACAUUGCGACGAGUGGAAUAAUCGAAACUACCUUGGGGUGUUAUUGAAAAUGAGGAGGUGCUUGAUUGUUAAGCAGAGGAGAGUGAAAAAAAGUAGGUUGUGCAACAAAGCCUUCCGGGAGGUCCCCAAGCGUACUCCAUCUCAUAUUUCUAGCAUCCAGUUAGGUUUGGAACUCAGCAGUCAGAGAGCACAGAACAGAACAGAACAGAAGAGAAGAGAGUGGAACAGAACAGAACAGAACAAGAGAGUUAUACUCUAGUAUGGCAAAGGUGUGCUAUAUAGAGUGCAAGGAGAGUAAGGACGCAGAAAGGUUUUAGUUGACGAGGAGAGCACACUCGGGAGAGACCGGUCGAUGCACUUCCUCCUUCCCGGUGUGUAUGUACACCGCCAUAUAAGAACCGUCGCACUACACCUACGUAUUGGUUCCAGGCACUUUCUGUACAUGUACAAUACAUUAUAUUUUAUAACAACAACAAUAAUAACAGUAAUGGUAAUAAUAAUAUGCCUACACAAACCCAACCAGACACACAUUCGUCCCUCGACUAUGGACAUUUUGAAAUUUGACUCUUUAAAAGUUUAAAUUUAAUACACCCACCAGACCCACUGAGCUAACUGUCGUCUAUUGUACUCGUGUGUCUUAAUACUAAAACUCUAAUUUUUAUAAAAUAUCUAUUUCAUGGUCUCUUGUACGAAAUAAUUUUAGUGUAGUAACAUAUGCAAUUAGUGGUAACUGUUGAUAUAAUUAUUUAUAAAUUAUAAUUAUGUAAAAAAAAUAAAACCAGGCCUUGUUAUGAAAUUUGUGUCGAGUAUGGAGCGAUAGUGCACAAGAGGUGUACGGUUAAUUAAGUAAUUAAAUGUAUGUGCAUAUAUGUAUAUAUAUAGCAAGUAAUUUAAGAGUAAGUAUUUUUCAGAGCUUUUUGGUAUAUGGCAACGUCAGAUCUCUUCUGAUUAAUUCCUAACACGACUAACGAGCAACGACCACGGGCAUGAACGCGAGCACGAUGACGACGUAGACGCAAACCGCAAAAUUACUGCCCGAGUUAUUUCUUUGUCUGACAAACUCAGUUGACAUAAAUUUUAUGAAAAGCUUCCUCGUCGUUUAAUUGAAAGGACCGCGUAUGUGGGCAUACUAUUGCUACUUUAAUAAUUGUGUGUUAUAAUAUUUAACUUUAAUAAAGUCCCCGGUGGUUUUAUUUAUUUAGUUCAACUUUAACUUCAUUUUGUUUUCAUAAACUUUUACUAUCUCAGCCUACGAGCACUUUAUUGCCAUUACUGUAAUAACAAACCAUUAAUUUUAUUUUAAAAUUUAUAAAUUUUUACUCAGCACUAAAACUUGAAACUUGCACACGAUAACACUAUCGUUUAAAAUUAUUUAUUUAAAUAUAAAAGAUAUAUAAAUAGAUAUAUGUAUCAAGAGUUUAAACACUUGGAUAUUCGAACUACAUAUUGUUGUCUUAAGAUAAAGAGGGCGAAGAACACGGGAGAGUUUUGUGAGCGAGUUCGAAAGGUAUAGAGUAGACAAGAGUGAAAUAUCGAAAGAUGUUUUAAAGAGGCAGGCAGGUGGUACCCGAUGCGGAGUAAUAACUAGAGGAGGAUAUGAAAAGGUGGUAGUAGUGGAAGGAGUGAAACAGCACCCGAGGAUGGGUAUGGCUAUGGCACUACCAGUUUUUUCUCGAGAGCACCCGGUCUGUCAUCGUUUAGUAUUACUCUUGCCCGUGGGUUUUCGCUCAUCGUCGUAGUAGUCGUAGUCAACCACGAGAUGCACAAGAGGAGAAAAUGAAAAAAAAUAAAAAAAUUUAUAAAUAAAGUAAAGAGUUAAGUGUAGUGUUGAGUAGAGCGACAACCGAGGGAUGCUGGAUCUUGCAAAUUCUUGGAAAUAUAUAUGUGCACGUCUGACCAAGUAUCAGACAAAGGAUGCCAAGAAAAUAGAAAUGCAGGGAAGAAUGGAGCGCUAUCGUAGUCUUGAAGAAAAAAUUUCCGACAUUUCUCUCUCCGUCCUCCACUUUUUACUCUGAUUAUUUUUGCCUCGGGAAUUCAAGAAUAGUAACGUAAAAAAUGACUGUCUCCAUUAAAACUAUCAAGGGUACAUCAAAAAUAUAUGCUCAAGUAAAUGCUGUAUAAAUAAAAUAUGAAUGUAUACAUAUACAUAUUUCUGUAGGUUUAUUUUUAGCGCCAACUGCCUGAUGUUGUUAAGAUUUGAAUUAAGGGAUAAAUUUAUAAAUAAUGAUUGUGGGAUCGUGUCAAUUAAACAAAGAAAUAAAAGCUACAGGCAAACAUGACACGGUUGUUUUUCACUUUUAUUUUUAAAAAACAAUGCCUCACCUUUUUUAUUUAUUUUCACGAAACAAAAAUCAACAGAAUGCAUUAACGGGCAAAGUUAUCGUUGUGUUAGCGUGAUUAUGUGAGACAAUGAAAGUCAGAAUGAAUGUAAAUCUCCCGUCAGUCACGUCAGUACACAGAAGUAGUGGUAGCAGUAGCAGUAGCAGUAACAGCAGCAGGAAUGGAACCCUGGGGGAGUUAUUAUCGGUGAGAAGAAGGUUCGAACAGCGGGAGUGUCAUAAAAAAGACAAAGGCGAUCUGUUGAUUAAACUGCUAUUUUUUUCUAUCAACUUGCCGUCAACUUUUAAACAUCUCAUUUGCCUUUAAUUUUUCCUUUAACAAUUUUACGACAAUUUAUCAUAUAUAUAUGUUUACCUACGGUUUAAUUAAUGCAAGAAUUUAAUAAGAGGAAGUGUAGACGACGAGGCAUGCAUUUGGUGAUUUAAUAACGCAGCUCGGCAAUUUUCGCUCCGCUUGACGGUGCGUAGUCGAAAAAAAAUUUAUUUAAUAAUCUGCGGACACCACC
Long non-coding RNA from Microplitis mediator, 3274 nucleotides. RefSeq lists it as uncharacterized. The transcript has 3 exons. Lineage: Eukaryota; Metazoa; Arthropoda; Insecta; Hymenoptera; Braconidae. The record is from RefSeq and is a predicted model, not a curated record.